Molecule: ribosomal RNA, 484 nt
Filed under: uncultured organism
Description: bacterial SSU rRNA
Rfam family: Bacterial small subunit ribosomal RNA
Source: RNAcentral
AUUGAACGCUAGCGGGAUGCUUUACACAUGCAAGUCGAACGGCAGCGCGGACUUCGGUCUGGCGGCGAGUGGCGAACGGGUGAGUAAUGUAUCGGAACGUGCCCAGUAGCGGGGGAUAACUACGCGAAAGCGUGGCUAAUACCGCAUACGCCCUACGGGGGAAAGGGGGGGAUCGCAAGACCUCUCACUAUUGGAGCGGCCGAUAUCGGAUUAGCUAGUUGGUGAGGUAAAGGCUCACCAAGGCGACGAUCCGUAGCUGGUUUGAGAGGACGACCAGCCACACUGGGACUGAGACACGGCCCAGACUCCUACGGGAGGCAGCAGUGGGGAAUUUUGGACAAUGGGGGCAACCCUGAUCCAGCCAUCCCGCGUGUGCGAUGAAGGCCUUCGGGUUGUAAAGCACUUUUGGCAGGGAAGAAAAGUUUCGGGCUAAUACCCUGGAGCGAUGACGGUACCUGCAGAAUAAGCACCGGCUAACUACGUG